ACAUUCACUAAAACGGUAAUUAAUCUCUCUUUGUAACUCCAAAUUUAGUGGGGUUUGAUUCUGUGGAAAGAUAACUCGAUUACGGUCAUUUCGAUAUCUGUUUGGUGAAUUAUUGAUCCAAAUUGAGUUGUGUGCGAGACUUUGAAGUUGUGACUCAAAAGCAGAUGUUUGCAGAAUUUUGGGGGACAUACCUUCACUAAAACGGUAAUUAAUCUCUCUUUGUAACUCCAAAUUUAGUGGAGUUUGAUUCUGUGGAAAGAUAACUCGAUUACGGUCAUUUCGAUAUCUGUUU
This 292-nucleotide long non-coding RNA is filed under the name Trifolium pratense (red clover). RNAcentral's name for it is "long non-coding RNA (TPRA_LNC001648)". Lineage: Eukaryota; Viridiplantae; Streptophyta; Magnoliopsida; Fabales; Fabaceae. The record is from RNAcentral.